GUUAUAUGGUCAAGUGAAGAAGCGCAUACGGUGGAUGCCUUGGCAGUCAGAGGCGAUGAAAGACGUGGUAGCCUGCGAAAAGCUUCGGGGAGUCGGCAAACAGACUGUGAUCCGGAGAUGUCUGAAUGGGGGAACCCAGCUGUCAUAAGACAGUUACCUUACACUGAAUACAUAGGUGUAUGGAGCGAACCAGGGGAACUGAAACAUCUAAGUACCCUGAGGAAAAGAAAUCAACCGAGAUUCCCUUAGUAGUGGCGAGCGAACGGGGACCAGCCCUUAAGUUGAUUUGAGAUUAGCGGAACGCUCUGGAAAGUGCGGCCAUAGUGGGUGAUAGCCCUGUACGCGAAAAUCUCUUGUCAAUGAAAUCGAGUAGGACGGGGCACGAGAAACCUUGUCUGAACAUGGGGGGACCAUCCUCCAAGGCUAAAUACUACUGACUGACCGAUAGUGAACCAGUACCGUGAGGGAAAGGCGAAAAGAACCGCGGAGAGCGGAGUGAAAUAGAUCCUGAAACCGUAUGCGUACAAGCAGUGGGAGCCCACUUUGUUGGGUGACUGCGUACCUUUUGUAUAAUGGGUCAGCGACUUAUUUUCAGUGGCGAGCUUAACCGAAUAGGGGAGGCGUAGCGAAAGCGAGUCUUAAUAGGGCGUCUAGUCGCUGGGAAUAGACCCGAAACCGGGCGAUCUAUCCAUGGGCAGGUUGAAGGUUGGGUAACACUAACUGGAGGACCGAACCGACUACCGUUGAAAAGUUAGCGGAUGACCUGUGGAUCGGAGUGAAAGGCUAAUCAAGCUCGGAGAUAGCUGGUUCUCCUCGAAAGCUAUUUAGGUAGCGCCUCAUGUAUCACUGAAGGGGGUAGAGCACUGUUUCGGCUAGGGGGUCAUCCCGCCUUACCAAACCGAUGCAAACUCCGAAUACCUACAAGUGCCGAGCAUGGGAGACACACGGCGGGUGCUAACGUCCGUCGUGAAAAGGGAAACAACCCAGACCGUCAGCUAAGGUCCCAAAGUCAUGGUUAAGUGGGAAACGAUGUGGGAAGGCUUAGACAGCUAGGAGGUUGGCUUAGAAGCAGCCACCCUUUAAAGAAAGCGUAAUAGCUCACUAGUCGAGUCGGCCUGCGCGGAAGAUGUAACGGGGCUCAAACCAUGCACCGAAGCUACGGGUAUCAUCUUAGGAUGAUGCGGUAGAGGAGCGUUCUGUAAGCCUGUGAAGGUGAGUUGAGAAGCUUGCUGGAGGUAUCAGAAGUGCGAAUGCUGACAUGAGUAACGACAAUGGGUGUGAAAAACACCCACGCCGAAAGACCAAGGUUUCCUGCGCAACGUUAAUCGACGCAGGGUUAGUCGGUCCCUAAGGCGAGGCUGAAAAGCGUAGUCGAUGGAAAACAGGUUAAUAUUCCUGUACUUCUGGUUAUUGCGAUGGAGGGACGGAGAAGGCUAGGCCAGCCUGGCGUUGGUUGUCCAGGUUUAAGGUGGUAGGCUGAAAUCUUAGGUAAAUCCGGGGUUUCAAGGCCGAGAGCUGAUGACGAGUGUAACACGAAGUGGUUGAUGCCAUGCUUCCAAGAAAAGCUUCUAAGCUUCAGGUAACCAGGAACCGUACCCCAAACCGACACAGGUGGUUGGGUAGAGAAUACCAAGGCGCUUGAGAGAACUCGGGUGAAGGAACUAGGCAAAAUGGCACCGUAACUUCGGGAGAAGGUGCGCCGGUGAGGGUGAAGGACUUGCUCCGUAAGCUCAUGCCGGUCGAAGAUACCAGGCCGCUGCGACUGUUUAUUAAAAACACAGCACUCUGCAAACACGAAAGUGGACGUAUAGGGUGGGACGCCUGCCCGGUGCCGGAAGGUUAAUUGAUGGGGUUAGCUAACGCGAAGCUCUUGAUCGAAGCCCCGGUAAACGGCGGCCGUAACUAUAACGGUCCUAAGGUAGCGAAAUUCCUUGUCGGGUAAGUUCCGACCUGCACGAAUGGCGUAACGAUGGCGGCGCUGUCUCCACCCGAGACUCAGUGAAAUUGAAAUCGCUGUGAAGAUGCAGUGUAUCCGCGGCUAGACGGAAAGACCCCGUGAACCUUUACUAUAGCUUUGCACUGGACUUUGAAUUUGCUUGUGUAGGAUAGGUGGGAGGCUUUGAAGCGUGGACGCCAGUCUGCGUGGAGCC
This 2150-nucleotide ribosomal RNA is filed under the name Pseudomonas sp. NZIPFR-PS5. RNAcentral's name for it is "bacterial LSU rRNA". It matches the Rfam family "Bacterial large subunit ribosomal RNA", at positions 1 to 2187 of the family's 2925-position model. Lineage: Bacteria; Pseudomonadati; Pseudomonadota; Gammaproteobacteria; Pseudomonadales; Pseudomonadaceae. The record is from RNAcentral.